Molecule: long non-coding RNA, 2202 nt
Organism: Felis catus (domestic cat)
Lineage: Eukaryota; Metazoa; Chordata; Mammalia; Carnivora; Felidae
Exons: 4
Source: RefSeq, a predicted model, not a curated record
UUUAAUAAGUAUUGUUUUCCUAGGGCAUUUUUGCCUCUUUACUGUUUUAAAAUCCAGAUCAAUUUUCUGUAGAAGGGAAAAUUGUCAGAAUGACUUUAUUAAAAAUAUGUUUAUAUAGCAUCCUUUAGCUUAUAAAUUUGGGAAAUUUUGGAAAGAAGAAAAGCUAAAAUUUUAAAUUCUGUAUUGCAUAUAUUAAAUUGUGGGUUUUUUGUAAAUUUGUAAUGAUCGAUCCCUGAAUUCUGCAGUUUGUCUCCCAGACUGUUGAAGUUUGAAAAUUAUCAUUUUGCUUCUCAGGGUUUCAGCUGAUUCUUCCAGAACUAGCAAAACCCCAUGGGGGAAAAUACAACUCCAAGGCAAGGCUUCUUUCCCUAGAUUUCUUUCUGUUUUAGGAUCUUGCAUUUGUAAAACACUGUCGAGAUUUUCUAUGUGAUCUCAGGAGAAGAGUUGGUCUACCUUUCGUUUCUAUCAUUUCCAGAAAGAGGAGCCAACGUAAUAUUUGCUAAAACUUCAUUUUCUUAUAUUAUAUGUUUAAUCAAAAACUAAGAUAAGUUGCCUUUCUGCAAAAUGAGUAGUGUUCAAACCGACUAACAAUUUUUGAGUUCGCAGUUCUCUAAAACUAUCUACUUGUCUUCAAAAGGUCAGCCAAUGUACCCAGCAGAACUUGGUAAGUAGAUUAAAUUUUGAGCUGUAGUACAGCCUCUGUAAUAUUGAAAACAGUGAGCAUAUGGAGAUUCUGUGCUAAUAGGAACUCUAUCUAGUCACAGCUAAGUUUUAGAGGCUGAUGCUUGCUUUUACUCUCAGGUCAUUAAAGAAAGUUCACUGGAGAGUGUCUCUUAGCCUUCAAAGAUGAAAAACUGACUCCAUUCUUAAAGGAGUCAUUUUCUUUCCCGAAUAAUUUUAUAUAGGGAGUAUCUUACUUUGUCUUGAUCCUUAAGUCAAAUCCCCAUUGGAACUGAUGGGAUCAUCGGCUGAAACUGAGGAUUUUUUUGAAAAAACGGACUCACAAUUAACAGUGAUUAAUGUUUUGUUACGUGUUUCAUACUUAAAAAUCAAACUAUCAUCAUCAUUCUUAUAUAAAACUCUUUCAUAUAUGAACAAGUUAUAAAUAAGCUUAAUUCUGGCUUUUUGAGUAGUAAAUUUGGCUCAGCAGAUGAAGAAAUUUGCUGGAAGAAAUGAACAGUUGGUUGAAGAGCACAGUCUUACAUGUUCAACCUAAUUAAUGUAUUAAAAGAAAAACAAUCUCAUAUUUCCUGACUGUGACUUCUUCCUAUUUAUUAAAUUAUGCCAUCUGUUACUUGACUUGCAGCUACAGCAUGUGAUAAAUUAGAGUCUCUAUCCAUGACCAGGCCAAUGAUACCAGUUAGGAAGCUGACAGCAACAGCAGUAAGAAAAGUAGUACAAACAGAAUAAAAGAGCAUCCUCGUCAAAAGACACUUUGGACUUAGGUAUAAUUCAUUCAGACCUUAGGUGCCUCCUUUAAAGGAGCUCCUUAGAAGUGGAGAUUUUCAUCAUCCUCAAACCUGUGAGGCAUGUCCUACAGAGGGAAGAAGUGCCCUCAGCGUUAAAAGAAGUGGCAAUCCCUUUACCUGGGAAAGAUUAAAAUAGCAAGAGCCCCUUGGAGAUUCCUGUAUCUAGUUUGGCAGUGGUGGCCUGAAAGAAACAUCUGAUUUUCAAGAGCAUUGAUUUAUUACCAUUUGGCAAGUCUUAUUGAACUGAUAUAUAGAUAGUAUGUAAAAGUGAAUAUAAUUACACAAUUUUCAAGUAUUAGUCUAUUUUGUAAAGUUAAAAAUAUGCAUGCUGUCUAAAAUAAAUAUCUUUAGGUUCUUGUUACAUUUUCAGAAGUCAUUAGAAUUUGCCACUAAGACAUACUAUCAUUAGUAAAUGAAAAUUUCCAAGCUGACGGCAAGCAUCUUUUCUGAAGGCAAAAAUUGUCAAGGCAACCAUAGAUUUUCCAUUUUGUGUGUGUUUCUACUUUAUUCUUCUUGAUGUACAUCUAAUAAAAGCAGCACAAAGCAAAUACGUUUCAAACUUAAAAGUCGGUGAUUAAGACCUGACACAAGGGACAUUUGUUAUACUUUAUACGUCUGUAUUGGAUAGCAGCAAAAAUGAUGGACGUGGUAGGUAAUUGUCCAUGAAACCCAUGUAUUUUGACCUGAAGAAUCAGCCCUGCUUUCACAAACCUUCAUGGUGAAUUGUGGAUAU